This 496-nucleotide unclassified non-coding RNA is filed under the name Hevea brasiliensis (rubber tree). Lineage: Eukaryota; Viridiplantae; Streptophyta; Magnoliopsida; Malpighiales; Euphorbiaceae. The record is from RNAcentral.
UUCCGGCUGCUGGUUGCUUACUCACACAGCUCACCUCUUCCUCGGGUGGUAGCUCCCUUGGCAACUUGGACUGCUCUGAAGUUGCUGGAUGAGAAGCAAGCCAAUCAAAUGGGGAAGAUUGGUCAGCUAGAAGGUGCUACGGGUCCGUGGGGCAGGAAACGAGGUUCACUGCCUAGAAGGAGGCAGCAUGAAGAACAUGUGAGGCGCUACCAACUUGAGGCAACAGGGGCGUUGCCUGGUUGAGUGGGGGAGAGUGUUACCCCUAAAUUUAUUGCCCCAAAAGUCCAACAAUUUUCGCUUGAAGGCUACCUAAGUGAAGCUAAUAUGUGUGCAUGGGACAAUAGUGCCCGAGACAUUGAGGAGACGGACGUGAAUUACAUGGGCACGUGAAGCCAAAUUAUGUGCAUGGGAGUGAAUUAGUGGGACGCAUCAUGGUGACAUAAGCCAUUUAGUGGAGGCCAUGUGAUACGGCAAGUGGUGCCAAGACCACUAAAUG